CUCACCCUUGCUAUAUCAUGAUAAAACAUUGCAGAUAAGGCGAAUACGGCCAGUUACAGGAAAAAGAAAAUGCCAAGUUCAGCUUGGGAUAAAAUGUACAGCUUGGGAUAAAAUGUACAGCUAAUUUGUAAAAGUAUAGUUGAAGAAUAGUAUUGUUAUGUGUUAGAUAGUUUUUGAAUUGUGUAUAAGUUAAGGUUACUCGACCUUGGGGAAUAGUGUGUAAUGUAAUGUAUAAACAAUUUAUGUUUAUAUCUUCCGCAAAAAGUUAUAGAAAGAUUAGCAAACCGGAUCCGCGGCGAUUUGGGGCCCGGAUUCGAGGACGCUACAUGAAGGAUAGGGAAAUAUUUAUUUUAUGUGAUUAUAAAUGAAGGAAUUAAUGCUGAGGUGUUUUAUCGGUAUUUUGUCGGAAUUGAGGUAUUAAAAAUCAAUCGUUUGUGGAUUUCGGAUAUUUUUGGUUUCUAAUUUUGAAAAACUUAAAGCUACAAAGUUGUAGAGAAUUCGAUUUCGUAUGGAAUGGACAUAAAAUUCGUAAUUUUCUGAUAAAAGGGCUAUUUAUUAUGAAUUAUUGAAGUUUCUGAUUAUUGUUUAAAAUGAUAAAACAUUUUGGAAAUUUCUAGAAUUGGUGGGCCCCACUUUUGGUUGGUAAAAAAUGUGCUCAAAAUUUAUUUCAAAUGUGGUGGGUGGCAAUAGUAGCAGGUAAAGCCAUCAAGUAGCAGGUCAAGUCUGCUUCGGCGUGCUUGCAUUUUCCUAUAAAUAGGUGCUUAGGUUAGAAUUGAAAAUCACACCAGAAACAUAAGCUUUCUCUCUCUAUAUUAUCGAGCGUAUUUUGUGAGUAUUUAGAUACUUUGAGAAUUGCUAUUCAGUACAAGUUUCCUUCAGCAUCAAAUCCGAUAUUCCAUUCCGAAGUACUGUUUCUUUAAGGUAAGGGAUGUUAUUUUCUUCUUAAAUGAUAUUAUUUUCUUCAAUAUCAUUAUGCCGAAUUAUUUAUAUAAGUUUUAUUGUGGAAUUUCUACCUUUUUAUGUCGGGGUUACUAUUCACGUAUACGGCACUAUUCACAAAUACGGCACUAUUCACCAAAAAAUGAAAUUUUCUCUUUUUCGUCCCCAGAUGACUAUUAUGGUUACUAUCUUUGAUUGUAUCCAUGUUUUAAUCUUUAUUUUUGAAUUCUACUUCAAAAUUGGUUAUUAUGGAGUAUUAUUGAAUUUGGAUAAACCGAAAUAUGAAUCCCUAAUAUUUGUCCUUCUGUCUCACUAGAUUCGUUUUCUCUAAAAUGUUUUUCAUCAUCCUCGGUCCUUAAUGGUGUUACUUGAUGAAUAUCUUUGGCCUGUAGUGCAAAGAUGUAUGAUUACUUGAUGAAUAUCUUUG
Molecule: long non-coding RNA, 1366 nt
Filed under: Panax ginseng (ginseng)
Lineage: Eukaryota; Viridiplantae; Streptophyta; Magnoliopsida; Apiales; Araliaceae
Description: long non-coding RNA (PGIN_LNC014379)
Source: RNAcentral